CAGGGUCAGAGGGGACCAUGGAGUUGAGAAUGUGGACAUUGCACGUUUAAUGUUCACAAUUCGUGGCACAGGGAGAAGCAGUUUCAUUUCAGGAAAAAGUGUCCACAACCAAAGAAUAGAGAGACUGUGGAGAGAUGUGUGGACUGCAGUGACCAGUGUGUACUAUGAUGUGCUACACUAUCUCGAGGAGGACAACUACCUUAAUAUUGCAGACCAAACACAUCUCUUCUGUUGCCACUACACAUUCCUGCCAAGGCUACAAGAUGAUCUAAACUUUUUCCGAGAUGGUUGGGAUUAUCACCCUUUGAGAACAGAACUUAGCAUGUCUCCAAACCAGCUCUGGGAAUUGGGUCAAAUUCAAUAUCAAGUUGAUGAUCCCCCAAACGAAGAGGAAAUGAACAUUGCCGAGAUUGAUUGGGAAAGCAGUUGACUGCCUCCUGAUGAAAGUGUUGGUGUUAACGUUCCUACUGUACAAUGUCCACUUACACCUGAGCAACUUACUGCACUGAAGGACACAGUGGAUCCUAGGUCACCAUCACAAUCCUAUGGGAUAGACAUGUUCAUGGCUGCAGUCCAGUUUUGCCAAGCACUUGAGUAAUGACACAUUAACUGCUGAAACAACUUGAAUUAAUUUGGUGGAUAAUUAAACCA
Long non-coding RNA from Carassius carassius (crucian carp), 651 nucleotides. RefSeq lists it as uncharacterized. NCBI's taxonomy places the organism in Eukaryota, Metazoa, Chordata, Actinopteri, Cypriniformes, Cyprinidae. The transcript has 3 exons. The record is from RefSeq and is a predicted model, not a curated record.